RNAcentral lists this ribosomal RNA (467 nucleotides) under uncultured bacterium. RNAcentral describes it as "partial 16S ribosomal RNA". It matches the Rfam family "Bacterial small subunit ribosomal RNA", at positions 28 to 507 of the family's 1533-position model. The record is from RNAcentral.
GACGAACGCUGGCGGCGUGCUUAACACAUGCAAGUCGAACGGAAAGGCCCUGCUUUUGUGGGGUGCUCGAGUGGCGAACGGGUGAGUAACACGUGAGUAACCUGCCCUUGACUUUGGGAUAACUUCAGGAAACUGGGGCUAAUACCGGAUAGGAGCUCCUGCUGCAUGGUGGGGGUUGGAAAGUUUCGGCGGUUGGGGAGGUACUCGCGGCUUAUCCGCUUGUUGGUGGGGUGGGGAUUACCAAGGCUUUGAAGGGUAACCGGCCUGAGACGGUGACCGGGCACAUUGGGACUGAGAUACGGACCAGACGCCUACGGGAGGCAGCAGUCGGGAGUAUUGCACAAUGGGCGGAAGCCUGAUGCAGCAACGCCGCGUGCGGGAUGACGGCCUUCGGGGUGUAAACCGCUUUCGCCUGUGACGAAGCGUGAGUGACGGUAAUGGGUAAGGAAGCACCGGCUAACUACGUG